CACGCAAAUCAGACUCCUCAAAUGCAUGUUUCGUUUCGAGAUUAGGUUAUUGUAGUGAAAAAUAUUGGAUUUAAAAACUAUGGACAAAUUAAAAGCAAUAACUGCCAAAAAUUUUAUAGCCUUCAAAAGUAAAUACUCCAUACUGUUUGAAAUAUAUCGGGAUAUUUAAAAUCCUUGGGAACAUCAAUAUCAUUAAUUUCAGAAAAUUAAUCGAAACAUUGCAUUGAUUUACGAUACUAUCGCCGAAAAUUUAGCGUAUCAAAAAGUGAUUAUCUAAAUGCAUGACUCAAAUAUUACGUGUAAUUUUUUGUAGAAAAGAAAAUUUUGUUCUUUUUUAACUUUUAAGGAGAAAAAUUUUUCUGUAAGAACUCUGUAACGUUCUGCGACAAGUCGCUGCCAUUCAACCAUGGGGUUUUAUAUUAUAUAUAAAUGCAGUACUAUUUUUAUAUGGUGACUGCAGAAUGUAAAACUAUAUGAGGAAAGUAACUUUAAUUAUGAUAGAGGGUGACGGUUAUGUGUAAAUCAUUAUGCUUAUGGGCAGUUUCAAAGGGUGAAUAAAUAUUUAAAAUGUUAAAACAAUCUAAAAAGGUGUGUUUAUUGAGAUGAGCUAACAAAAUUAAUUCAGAAAAAUAUGUCUUAGAUGUACCAGUUGUUGUUUUGCAUUAAUUUUGCACAGUUUAUUUGAUAUUAAUUGGAUUUUGUUUGUUUUUUCUCUUAACACAGGCUACAAGAUGCUGGUUCCAGUGACACCACUUCCAAAUCCUUGAUUCUUGCACCUGAACUUAAGAAGCUGGUUGAACCUGAGAAAAUAUUGAGUACUUUUUUAAAUAAAAUAGAGAAACCUUCAAUGGCAUUGGUGGUGUGGCAACCUCCUAACAACAAACUGACAGA
Parasteatoda tepidariorum (common house spider) is the source of this 891-nucleotide non-coding RNA. The record is from RefSeq and is a predicted model, not a curated record. NCBI's taxonomy places the organism in Eukaryota, Metazoa, Arthropoda, Arachnida, Araneae, Theridiidae.